GCGAGUCUGAACAGGGCGCCAAGUCGGGGGGGGUAGACGCGAAACCGAGUGAUCUACCCUUGGCCAGGUUGAAGGUUGGGUAACACCAACUGGAGGACCGGAUGGGUAAGCGUUGAAAAGCUUUCCAAUGAGCUGAGGGUAGGGGUGAAAGGCUAAUCAAACUCGGAGAUAGCUCGUACUCCCCGAAAUGCAUUUAGGUGCAGCCUCUUUAUAGUAUAUCGUGAGGUAGAGCGACUGAUUGGAUGCGAGGGCUUCACCGCCUAUCAAGUCCAGAUAAACUCCGAAUGCGCGAUAUAUAUUUACAGGGAGUGAGGGCGCGGGUGCUAAGGUCCGUGUCCGAGAGGAGAAGAAUCCAGACCACCGGCUAAGGCCCCCAAAUGAUCGUUAAGUUGAACUAACGAGGUCGGAUCGCAGAGACAGCUAGGAUGUUGGCUUGGAAGCAGCCAUUCAUUUAAAGAGUGCGUAACAGCUCACUAGUCGAGCGAUCUGGCGUGGAUAAUAAUCGGGCAUAAACGAUCUGCCGAAGCCGUGGAUGUCGCAAGACAUGGUAGGGGAGCAUUCCAUGCCGCGUCGAAGAUGAGGGGUGACCCUUGUUGGAGCGCAUGGAAAAGCAAAUGUAGGUAUGAGUAACGAUAAGGGGGGCGAGAACCCCCCCCGCCGAAAGACCAAGGUUUCCUGAUCAACGCUAAUCGGAUCAGGGUGAGUCGGGACCUAAGGCAAAGCCGAACGGCGCCGCCGAUGGAAGAAUGGGUUAAUAUUCCCAUACUGCCUCAUGGAGUGACGUGGAGACGGAGAAGUGACAGUCCUGCCGGCUGACGGAAUAGCCGGUUGAAGGGUGUAGAUAUUGAUUCCCGUAGGCAAAUCCGCGGGGAGAGUCGAACCUGAGAGUAUACGGAGCGCUUGCGCAACGUAAUAUGGACGUAACCAUGCUCCCGAGAAAAUCCGCUAAACUUAUCCAUGCGGCACCCGUACCGUAAACGGACACACGUGGUCGGGUUGAGAAUACUGAGGCGCUCGAGUGAUUCACGGUUAAGGAACUAGGCAAAUUGACCCUGUAACUUCGGGAUAAAGGGUCCUCGUCGUAAGGCGAGGCGCAGAGAAUAGGUCCAGGCAACUGUUUAACAAAAACACAUGGCUGUGCUAAAUGGAAACAUGAUGUAUACAGCCUGACACCUGCCCGGUGCCGGAAGGUUAAGAGGAGAUGUCAUCCGCGAGGAGAAGCGUUGAAU
RNAcentral lists this ribosomal RNA (1229 nucleotides) under Salmonella enterica subsp. enterica serovar Infantis. RNAcentral describes it as "partial 23S ribosomal RNA". It matches the Rfam family "Bacterial large subunit ribosomal RNA", at positions 677 to 1912 of the family's 2925-position model. Lineage: Bacteria; Pseudomonadati; Pseudomonadota; Gammaproteobacteria; Enterobacterales; Enterobacteriaceae. The record is from RNAcentral.